GGCCUACCAUGGUGGUAACGGGUAACGGGGUGUUAGGGCACGACACCGGAGAGGGAGCCUGAGAAACGGCUACCACAUCCAAGGAUGGCAGCAGGCGCGCAAAUUGCCCAAUCCCGACACGGGGAGGUAGUGACAAUAAAUAACAAUACGGGGUUCUUCGAAUCUCGUAAUUGGAAUGAGUACAAUUUAAAUCUCUUAACGAGGAACAAUUGGAGGGCAAGUCUGGUGCCAGCAGCCGCGGUAAUUCCAGCUCCAAUAGCGUAUAUUAAAGUUGUUGCAGUUAAAAAGCUCGUAGUUGAAUUUCGGGAUCAGCAGGUUGGUCUUGCCACUGGUAUGUACUAGCUUGCUGAUUCCUCCUUCUUGUAGAACCGUAAUGCCAUUAAUUUGGUGUUGCGGGGAAACAGGACUGUUACUUUGAAAAAAUUAGAGUGUUUAAAGCAGGCUAGCGCCUGAAUACAUUAGCAUGGAAUAAUGAAAUAGGACGUUCGAACCUAUUUUGUUGGUUUCUAGGAUUGACGUAAUGAUUAAUAGGGAUAGUUGGGGGCAUUAGUAUUCAAUUGUCAGAGGUGAAAUUCUUGGAUUUAUUGAAGACUGACUACUGCGAAAGCAUUUGCCAAGGAUGUUUUCAUUAAUCAAGAACGAAAGUUAGGGGAUCGAAGACGAUCAGAUACCGUCGUAGUCUUAACCAUAAACUAUGCCGACUAGGGAUCGGAUGAUGUUAAUUUUUUAUGACUCAUUCGGCGCCUUACG
Molecule: ribosomal RNA, 750 nt
Filed under: uncultured Glomeromycotina
Lineage: Eukaryota; Fungi; Glomeromycota
Description: SSU rRNA
Rfam family: Eukaryotic small subunit ribosomal RNA
Source: RNAcentral